CAAGAGCGUAUGUAAAAGUUGUUGCAGUUAAAAAGCUCGUAGUUGAACCUUGGGUUUGGUUGGCCGGUCCGCUUUUUUGCGAGUACUGGAUUCAACCGAGCCUUUCCUUCUGGCUAACCAGUCGUUUCGGCGGCUGGCGAACCAGGAUUUUUACUUUGAGAAAAUUAGAGUGUUCAAAGCAGGCAUUAGCUUGAAUAUAUUAGCAUGGAAUAAUAGAAUAGGACGUUAUGGUUCUAUUUUGUUGGUUUCUAGGACCAUCGUAAUGAUUAAUAGGGACGGUCGGGGGCAUCAGUAUUCAGUUGUCAGAGGUGAAAUUCUUGGAUUUACUGAAGACUAACUACUGCGAAAGCAUUUGCCAAGGACGUUUUCACUAA
This 374-nucleotide ribosomal RNA is filed under the name uncultured eukaryote. Its description in RNAcentral is "partial 18S ribosomal RNA". It matches the Rfam family "Eukaryotic small subunit ribosomal RNA", at positions 592 to 976 of the family's 1831-position model. The record is from RNAcentral.